Molecule: transfer RNA, 83 nt
Filed under: Ceratocystis platani
Lineage: Eukaryota; Fungi; Ascomycota; Sordariomycetes; Microascales; Ceratocystidaceae
Description: tRNA-Ser
Rfam family: tRNA
About the family: Transfer RNA (tRNA) molecules are approximately 80 nucleotides in length. Their secondary structure includes four short double-helical elements and three loops (D, anti-codon, and T loops). Further hydrogen bonds mediate the characteristic L-shaped molecular structure. tRNAs have two regions of fundamental functional importance: the anti-codon, which is responsible for specific mRNA codon recognition, and the 3' end, to which the tRNAs corresponding amino acid is attached (by aminoacyl-tRNA synthetases). tRNAs cope with the degeneracy of the genetic code in two manners: having more than one tRNA (with a specific anti-codon) for a particular amino acid; and 'wobble' base-pairing, i.e. permitting non-standard base-pairing at the 3rd anti-codon position.
Source: RNAcentral
UGGCAACGUGCCUGAGUGGUUAAAGGGUAUGACUAGAAAUCAUAUGGGUUCGCCCUCACAGGUUCGAAUCCUGUCGUUGUCGG